CAAUACGAGAGCGGCAGACGGGUGAGUAGCACGUGGGAACGUGCCCUUCGGUUCGGAAUAACCCAGGGAAACUUGGGCUAAUACCGGAUACGCCCUUACGGGGAAAGAUUUAUCGCCGAGGGAUCGGCCCGCGUCCGAUUAGCUAGUUGGUGAGGUAAUGGCUCACCAAGGCUACGAUCGGUAGCUGGUCUGAGAGGAUGAUCAGCCACACUGGGACUGAGACACGGCCCAG
Molecule: ribosomal RNA, 232 nt
Filed under: uncultured bacterium
Lineage: Bacteria
Description: partial 16S ribosomal RNA
Rfam family: Bacterial small subunit ribosomal RNA
Source: RNAcentral